AACCCCUGUGGUGGACUGCAAUAGAACCUGAAACCCUGCACUUACAAGCUGUGGAAGCACAUUUCUUGUGUGACCGCGUACUUUUUGUAGAACGGGCCAACGAGUUACGUUAAGUAGCAAGGUUAAGCACUUAAGGUGUGGGGCCGUAGCGAAAGCGAGUUUUAACUGAGCGUUCAGUUACUUGACGUAGACCCGAAACCGGGCGACCUACCCAGGAGCAGGAUGAAGCGAAAGUAAAAGUUCGUGGAGGUCCGAACCCACGAGCGUUGAAAAGCUCGGGGAUGACUUGUGGGUAGCGGUGAAAUUCCAAUCGAGCCCGGAGAUAGCUGGUUCUCCCCGAAAUAGCUUUAGGGCUAGCCUCAAGGUGAGAGAUACGGAGGUAGAGCACUG
RNAcentral lists this ribosomal RNA (390 nucleotides) under Clostridioides difficile. Its description in RNAcentral is "bacterial LSU rRNA". It matches the Rfam family "Bacterial large subunit ribosomal RNA", at positions 522 to 912 of the family's 2925-position model. The record is from RNAcentral. Lineage: Bacteria; Bacillati; Bacillota; Clostridia; Peptostreptococcales; Peptostreptococcaceae.